RNAcentral lists this ribosomal RNA (180 nucleotides) under Triticum aestivum (bread wheat). Its description in RNAcentral is "partial small subunit ribosomal RNA". The record is from RNAcentral. Lineage: Eukaryota; Viridiplantae; Streptophyta; Magnoliopsida; Poales; Poaceae.
CGGAUACGAACCGUAGACCUUCUCGGUAAAACAGAUCAAACGAAUUAUUAUCGAAAUUGUUUGAACUGUUUCAAAGACCCAACAUGCAGUGCUAGCAGAUGUAGAACUACGGUAGGAUUGGAUGAGCACCAGACAGUGGUCAGAGGAACUCUUCGGAAGACCAUGUUUUGGUCAUCUUGA